This 492-nucleotide ribosomal RNA is filed under the name uncultured bacterium. RNAcentral describes it as "partial 16S ribosomal RNA". It matches the Rfam family "Bacterial small subunit ribosomal RNA", at positions 29 to 507 of the family's 1533-position model. The record is from RNAcentral.
AGUGAACGCUGGCGGUAGGCCUAACACAUGCAAGUCGAACGGCAGCACAGUAAGAGCUUGCUCUUACGGGUGGCGAGUGGCGGACGGGUGAGGAAUACAUCGGAAUCUACUUUUUCGUGGGGGAUAACGUAGGGAAACUUACGCUAAUACCGCAUACGACCUACGGGUGAAAGCAGGGGAUCUUCGGACCUUGCGCGAUUGAAUGAGCCGAUGUCGGAUUAGCUAGUUGGCGGGGUAAAGGCCCACCAAGGCGACGAUCCGUAGCUGGUCUGAGAGGAUGAUCAGCCACACUGGAACUGAGACACGGUCCAGACUCCUACGGGAGGCAGCAGUGGGGAAUAUUGGACAAUGGGCGCAAGCCUGAUCCAGCCACACCGCGUGGGUGAAGAAGGCCUUCGGGUUGUAAAGCCCUUUUGUUGGGAAAGAAAAGCAGCAGGUUAAUACCCCGCUGUUCUGACGGUACCCAAAGAGUAAGCACCGGCUAACUUCGUG